GCUCUGCCUUGUAAACUUCUUUUGAAUGGGACGAAAGAGCUAUACUUGUAUAGUGUUGACGGUACCAUUAGAAUAAGCACCGGCUAACUCCGUGCCAGCAGCCGCGGUAAUACGGAGGGUGCGAGCGUUAUCCGGAAUUACUGGGUUUAAAGGGUGCGUAGGCGGUGAUAUAAGUCAGUGGUGAAAGGCCGUAGCUUAACUAUGGGAUUGCCAUUGAUACUGUAUGACUUGAAUCAGGAUGAGGUUGGCGGAAUGUGGCAUGUAGCGGUGAAAUGCAUAGAUAUGCCAUAGAACACCGAUUGCGAAGGCAGCUGACUGGGCCUUGAUUGACGCUGAGGCACGAAAGCGUGGGGAGCGAACAGGAUUAGAUACCCUGGUAGUCCACGCCCUAAACGAUGCUUACUGGUUGUUUGUUAGAGAUGAUGAGUGACUAAGGGAAACCGAUAAGUAAGCCACCUGGGGAGUACGACC
This 471-nucleotide ribosomal RNA is filed under the name uncultured bacterium. RNAcentral describes it as "bacterial SSU rRNA". It matches the Rfam family "Bacterial small subunit ribosomal RNA", at positions 415 to 887 of the family's 1533-position model. The record is from RNAcentral.